UGGGGAAUAUUGCACAAUGGGCGAAAGCCUGAUGCAGCGACGCCGCGUGCGGGAUGAAGGCCUUCGGGUUGUAAACCGCUUUUAAUUGGGAGCAAGCGAGAGUGAGUGUACCUUUUGAAUAAGCACCGGCUAACUACGUGCCAGCAGCCGCGGUAAUACGUAGGGUGCAAGCGUUAUCCGGAAUUAUUGGGCGUAAAGAGCUCGUAGGCGGUUUGUCACGCCUGGUGUGAAAGUCCAUCGCUUAACGGUGGAUCUGCGCCGGGUACGGGCAGGCUAGAGUGCAGUAGGGGAGAUUGGAAUUCCCGGUGUAACGGUGGAAUGUGUANNAUAUCGGGAAGAACACCAAUGGCGAAGGCAGAUCUCUGGGCUGUUACUGACGCUGAGGAGCGAAAAGCAUGGGGAGCGAACAGGAUUAGAUACCCUGGUAGUCCAUGCCGUAAACGGUGGAUGCUGGAUGUGGGACCCUUCCACGGGUUCCGUGUCGGAGCUAACGCGUUAAGCAUCCCGCCUGGGGAGUACGGCC
RNAcentral lists this ribosomal RNA (523 nucleotides) under uncultured bacterium. Its description in RNAcentral is "partial 16S ribosomal RNA". It matches the Rfam family "Bacterial small subunit ribosomal RNA", at positions 355 to 887 of the family's 1533-position model. The record is from RNAcentral.